AAUAGAUACCCGGGUAGUCCACGCCGUAAACGAUGAGUGCUAAGUGUUAGGGGGUUUCCGCCCCUUAGUGCUGCAGCUAACGCAUUAAGCACUCCGCCUGGGGAGUACGGUCGCAAGACUGAAACUCAAAGGAAUUGACGGGGGCCCGCACAAGCGGUGGAGCAUGUGGUUUAAUUCGAAGCAACGCGAAGAGCCUUACCAGGUCUUGACAUCCCGUUGACCACUGUAGAGAUAUAGUUUCCCCUUCGGGGGCAACGGUGACAGGUGGUGCAUGGUUGUCGUCAGCUCGUGUCGUGAGAUGUUGGGUUAAGUCCCGCAACGAGCGCAACCCUUGAUCUUAGUUGCCAUCAUUUAGUUGGGCACUCUAAGGUGACUGCCGGUGACAAACCGGAGGGAGGUGGGGAUGACGUCAAAUCAUCAUGCCCCUUAUGACCUGGGCUACACACGUGCUACAAUGGACGAUACAAACGGUUGCCAACUCGCGAGAGGGAGCUAAUCCGAUAAAGUCGUUCUCAGUUCGGAUUGUAGGCUGC
This 533-nucleotide ribosomal RNA is filed under the name uncultured bacterium. Its description in RNAcentral is "bacterial SSU rRNA". It matches the Rfam family "Bacterial small subunit ribosomal RNA", at positions 777 to 1308 of the family's 1533-position model. The record is from RNAcentral.